Molecule: long non-coding RNA, 1821 nt
Organism: Gallus gallus (chicken)
Lineage: Eukaryota; Metazoa; Chordata; Aves; Galliformes; Phasianidae
Exons: 2
Source: RefSeq, a predicted model, not a curated record
GCCGGAGAAGCCAUCCUCGUGGAGCAGGAGUGGUACUAGCUGGGAUGCUAACGUGGGAUGCGAGAGGCUUAGGUUCAGCCUCUGUUUUAGGAGGUGCUGAAGAAGGUGGCACUUGCCAUCUCUCGGCUGUGUGUAAAAGAAGAGCUGCUCUGGAGCAGAGCUGUGCAGACGUGCUAACCGUAAAACAGUAGUGAAUCCAUAGUAAAACAGCCAGAAAUGAAGAUGUAGCGCUCAUAAUACGCAAGUUUCAGGGUAAACUACUUCAAGGAAUUACUUUAGAGCAACAAAGUUGUGAAGGGUCUGGAGCACAGGUCUUACCAGGAGCAGCUGAGGGAGCUGGGAUAGUUCAGUGUGGAGAAGAGGAGGCUCAGGGGAGACCUCAUUGCUCUGUACAACUGCCUGAAAGGGAAUCGUCCUCUUCGCCCAGAUGACAGUGAUAUGACGAGAGCUGCUUAUACAGAUGUUGGUUUUACCAGUCCAAAGGAGUACCAGGCAGUGAAGAAUCUACCCUGAAAUGAUCUUAAGCCAACGCAAUCACGUUACAAAAGGUAGUUUGUAGAGUUCAGACUUCUCUUCGAGUAAAUUACUGAUAUUCAGAAUGCUUUCUAUGUCUUGGCAGUAUAAACUUCACUGAAAAUAUGUUUUGAAAAAGAACAUGGGAAGAUGUACAUUCUUAGCCCUGCUGCUAUCUGAUAAGACUUCAGAAUUCUUGGCUUGUUUUUUUUUUGUUAUUUUGUUGUGUUUUGGGUUUUUUUUUUUUUUUUUUUUUUUAUAUUGAAGGGAAAAGCCCAAAUCUUCUGAAGAACUGAAUUGUAGGACAUAUAAAAUGAGGUAUGUCAGAGGUAGAAAUUUAUGAGUAGGGAUCAUCUGAGAACAAAAAUGGUGUUGUUUAUAAACCUAGGGGUCUGUAGAUUUAAGAGGCAUUCAGGAAGAAAAUUGCAAGUAGAAGUCAGGGUGGUUUUGUACUACUACCAGUCUCCUCCCUGAGUUCGGGAGGUAUUCAAGAGCCAUUAUGGCCUGCUGCAGAAUCCCAGAGUGGCUGGAUGGUAACGUUCCCAAAGCACAAGCCUUCUUUCUGACGUGGCUGUACCUUCUGGGAGCAUCACGUGUGUCCCUGCUCUGGUAGCUCUGGGUAUGAACAGUACAGUUCUGUUCGAUUGUCUUUCUGCACUCCAGAGAAGCUUCCUACCCGAGAGCUCUUGUAAACCAGGAGGGCACAGUGAAAGUAAAAGAUGAUCUGUCACUUCCCAAGAGGACUUGGUGCUUGGGGGUAGAGUAACAAUAGGUGCACAGUUCUGGCAGUUGUACACACAUAACCUGUAGCAAAGACUGAUGGAUUAAACUGUGAAUGAGAACAGAAGAGCAUAUAUAUGCAGUAAUAUAAACAGCUGUCUAAGGUGGCUCCUUACAUCUCUAGAAUUUAUGUGUGCACCAAUGCAAUUUUGAACAAAUCUCUUUCUGGUGCUGACUGGAAUUCAGCUGGACUGGAGUUGAAAAAAUACUGGGACCUAUCAGCUGCUGUUGCCAUUUGCUUUACAUCCUACAUAUUCUGUACCGAAUAAGAAACUUUAUUUACUCCUGGUUCUUUCUAUUGUGCUAUCCUCAUAUUGUUCAUAAUGCUGCGAGUACACAGAGUUCACAAGCUGAUGCAGACUUUUCCCUCUCAGUCACAAGUAGUCUUUUACUGUGUGACAGGAAUCUUUUGACACAAGUUGGAUUGCUGUCCCUUUGCAUUUCAUACUUAAACCGGUGGGUGAAAUUAGAAAUAUGAAAAAAAAAAAAAAAAAGAGAGAGAGAGAGAGAAAUCUUCAUUUUCCUUUA